RNAcentral lists this long non-coding RNA (792 nucleotides) under Homo sapiens (human). RNAcentral describes it as "HSALNT0370589". The record is from RNAcentral. Lineage: Eukaryota; Metazoa; Chordata; Mammalia; Primates; Hominidae.
GCACUGGUUACUUCCCCCGUCCUCUCAGCUCUGGGAAGGGUGGGGUGGUCAUGAAGUCCUGAGAGAGCAGAGGGACACACCAACUUCUCUUGUUGGUUCCCUCAACCCUGCCCAUACCUAUGGGUAAUCAGAGAUGGAUUCAGUCUCCAGUUAGGAUCCUCAUCAAGGUAUUUGUAUGGGGGAUUCCAUGCAGAUGGUGUAUAGAGAGAAGAUAGACACAAGGGAUCUUCAUAGCCAAGGACUGGAUUUGAACAAGUCAGUCUCCAGCUAUGUUUUAGACACUGAGGACUGUGCCCGUCAUCCCUUAGAGCUUCUCUCUGGGCCACUGGCUCGAAGGGCACAUCUCAGGGAAAAAGAACCCAGAAUUCACAACGGAACAUCAACAUAUCCAAAAGACAAGUUUCAAUGAACAGAUUCUCAGCAAAAGGACUCUAAGGAUGCAGAGGAAGGGAAGUCACCCAAUCUGGGAAGGAGGUUUUUAUUAAGUAUAAAAACAGGUCAUCCACACAUAGCAAUGUGCUUUUCUAGAGAAAACCAUCCUACUCACCGAGAGCCAGGAUUGAGUGGGGCUUCUGCUGUGUCUCUAGAUGAUGCCUUAAGAAACACCCACUCCCCGUGAGGGAUGUUACCAAGAAGUCAAGAACCACCAGUAACUUUGAAAAGUCCAGAUUACUCAGUCUCGGGUAUGUGUAUCAGCAAUGUGAAAACGGACUAGUACAUCUCUAGAGGCACAUGCCAUGUGGUCCAGCCAUAAUUAUUUGUUGUCACAACUAAGUUUCCUUUCUAUAUGAA